GUACUCUCACACUCUCUGAUCUUGCAUUGGGGAGCGGUGGACCUGGAUGUUGCUGCGUCGCUGUGGCUCAUCUGAAAUGGGUUAGUGCGUCUCAUUGUUGGACUUGUACAGCGUGAUAAGCAUCUUCGCUGGCACCUUUCAUUUGGUGGUCCAACUGGGAGCUCUGUGCUUCAAACAGUCCUUGCGACAAAUAUCUGACA
RNAcentral lists this unclassified non-coding RNA (200 nucleotides) under uncultured Sebacinaceae. RNAcentral's name for it is "sequence contains ITS2". Lineage: Eukaryota; Fungi; Basidiomycota; Agaricomycetes; Sebacinales; Sebacinaceae. The record is from RNAcentral.